AACGAACGCUGGCGGCAUGCCUAACACAUGCAAGUCGAACGAGAUCUUCGGAUCUAGUGGCGCACGGGUGCGUAACGCGUGGGAAUUUGCCCUUUGCUUCGGAAUAACAGUGAGAAAUUACUGCUAAUACCGGAUGAUGUCUUCGGACCAAAGAUUUAUCGGCAAAGGAUGAGCCCGCGUAGGAUUAGGUAGUUGGUGGGGUAAUGGCCUACCAAGCCGACGAUCCUUAGCUGGUCUGAGAGGAUGAUCAGCCACACUGGGACUGAGACACGGCCCAGACUCCUACGGGAGGCAGCAGUGGGGAAUAUUGGACAAUGGGGGAAACCCUGAUCCAGCAAUGCCGCGUGAGUGAUGAAGGCCUUAGGGUUGUAAAGCUCUUUUACCAGGGAUGAUAAUGACAGUACCUGGAGAAUAAGCUCCGGCUAACUCCGUG
This 433-nucleotide ribosomal RNA is filed under the name uncultured bacterium. RNAcentral's name for it is "partial 16S ribosomal RNA". It matches the Rfam family "Bacterial small subunit ribosomal RNA", at positions 29 to 507 of the family's 1533-position model. The record is from RNAcentral.